AGGAAUUUAAACAACAUCCAUAAACUAAAUAUUGAAUACAUGGUUUAGAAAUUAAAAACACUCAAAUCUCAUGCUUCAAAUAUUUUCUUUGGCCCUUCUUUCAUAUUUCAGCGUAUAAGUACCAAUAUCAAGUUGUAUACCUGAAAAUCAGUUUACAAAUGAAGAAGAAGAAAGAUCAGCAGCAGCAGUACAUCAACAAUACAACAGCAACAUCAAUAGGAUUCAGAACAGCUCAACAAACAGUUUUAAAACCAAGAUAACAUUCGACCACAGCCCAGAAACAUUUUAUAAACCAACAACAACAUCAAAUAACCCACAAUAGACUUUACUGAUCCUGAGUUAAACCAGAAAUGGACGAGCGUACAACUGAACCACUAUCAGCAGACCAAACCUCAACCACAACUGACUUAAUUAGACCCCAAACUUAUUUGAAAGACAUAAAGUGUACUUCAGAUGAACUUCAGCACUCAGAACAGAAGAAAACUUGAUCAAAUUUGAACCAGAGUAAUGAUGUAGCAGUACUUUUGGUAUUUUACAAUGGAACAAUGUUAAUUGAACUGAUUGACGGCCUAAAAUUCUCUCUAAGUGUUUGUAUUUUUUCCAAAGCUCUCUUCAACUAUCUGUAUCUUUUUAAUUAGAACUGAAUGCCCUCAAAGCUCUCCAAAAAAUAUUCCUCCCUCAAUGUCUAUCUCCGUACUGCUUUUAUGGCAG
This 711-nucleotide long non-coding RNA is filed under the name Nicotiana benthamiana. Its description in RNAcentral is "long non-coding RNA (NBEN_LNC025771)". The record is from RNAcentral. Lineage: Eukaryota; Viridiplantae; Streptophyta; Magnoliopsida; Solanales; Solanaceae.